This 385-nucleotide ribosomal RNA is filed under the name uncultured bacterium. Its description in RNAcentral is "bacterial SSU rRNA". It matches the Rfam family "Bacterial small subunit ribosomal RNA", at positions 29 to 443 of the family's 1533-position model. The record is from RNAcentral.
AACGAACGCUGGCGGCAGGCUUAACACAUGCAAGUCGAACGCCCCGCAAGGGGAGUGGCAGACGGGUGAGUAACGCGUGGGAAUCUACCUAGAACUACGGAACAACUGAGGGAAACUUCAGCUAAUACCGUAUACGCCCUACGGGGGAAAGAUUUAUCGGUUUUAGAUGAGCCCGCGUAAGAUUAGCUAGUUGGUGGGGUAAUGGCCUACCAAGGCGACGAUCUUUAGCUGGUCUGAGAGGAUGAUCAGCCACACUGGGACUGAGACACGGCCCAGACUCCUACGGGAGGCAGCAGUGGGGAAUAUUGGACAAUGGGCGCAAGCCUGAUCCAGCCAUGCCGCGUGAGUGAUGAAGGCCUUAGGGUUGUAAAGCUCUUUCAGUAGG